UAGGGAAUCUUCGGCAAUGGGGGCAACCCUGACCGAGCAACGCCGCCGUGAGUGAAGAAGGUUUUCGGAUCGUAAAGCUCUGUUGUAAGAGAAGAACGUGUGUGAGAGUGGAAAGUUCACACAGUGACGGUAACUUACCAGAAAGGGACGGCUAACUACGUGCCAG
Molecule: ribosomal RNA, 166 nt
Filed under: uncultured bacterium
Lineage: Bacteria
Description: partial 16S rRNA
Rfam family: Bacterial small subunit ribosomal RNA
Source: RNAcentral